AGAACGAACGCUGGCGGCGUGGAUAAGACAUGCAAGUCGAACGCGACUUAUCGAGUUAGCAAUAACUUGGUAAGUUGAGUGGCGAAAGGGUGCGUAACACGUGGGAAUUUACCAAGAAGUGGGGAAUAGCUCGACGAAAGUCGAAUUAAUACCGCAUGUGAUCGAAAGAUCAAAGUCGGGGACCGCAAGGCCUGACGCUUUUUGAGAAGCCCGCGGCCCAUCAGCUAGUUGGUGAGGUAAUGGCUCACCAAGGCUAUGACGGGUAGCUGGUCUGAGAGGACGACCAGCCACACUGGAACUGAGACACGGUCCAGACACCUACGGGUGGCAGCAGUCGAGAAUUUUUCACAAUGGACGAAA
This 360-nucleotide ribosomal RNA is filed under the name uncultured bacterium. RNAcentral describes it as "SSU rRNA". It matches the Rfam family "Bacterial small subunit ribosomal RNA", at positions 26 to 380 of the family's 1533-position model. The record is from RNAcentral.